Molecule: ribosomal RNA, 251 nt
Filed under: uncultured bacterium
Lineage: Bacteria
Description: partial 16S ribosomal RNA
Rfam family: Bacterial small subunit ribosomal RNA
Source: RNAcentral
UACGUAGGUGGCAAGCGUUGUCCGGAAUUAUUGGGCGUAAAGCGCGCGCAGGCGGUCCUUUAAGUCUGAUGUGAAAGCCCACGGCUCAACCGUGGAGGUCAUUGGAAACUGGGGGACUUGAGUACAGAAGAGGAAAGCGGAAUUCCACGUGUAGCGGUGAAAUGCGUAGAGAUGUGGAGGAACACCAGUGGCGAAGGCGCUUUCUGGUCUGUAACUGACGCUGAGGCGCGAAAGCGUGGGGAGCAAACAGG